GGCUCACGCCGCCCCCGGCUGCAGAAGCCCGGGCCGGGGCAGCGCAGGCGACAGCACCGCGGAGAAAACCCUUCAAGCAGAAUGUGUGUCUUGCUACUUAUGAAAACCCCUUGUUUAAAAUCCCGUUGAUGAAAGCUGCAGCUCCUGGCUUUUACUGCAUCGAACUUGGGCCACAAUCCCAUCAUCAGUAAUGCUGCAGGAUCAGUGAUUCAAACAGAGAGGCAAAGCUUCCAGAAGAUGCCUUUGGGGUGUUCAAGCAGGUUCAGAGAAGAUGGAGAGGGACAAGAUUCUGCAGUUGCUAAGCCCAACAGGCACCGACAAAAGGAGCAGGUGCUGAAAACUGUCCCAAGAGUUCCAGGAGAAUACACAGCCAAGAAUAGGUUUCAGGGCAAUGAAGUGGUUUAGAAAUCAUAUAACUACUUUAAAAAGAAAAUUACUUUGGCAUUUACCUCUGCUAUUUCUUCUGUGAAAACUGGGCUUUCAAGUACUGUGGGAUGAAAUAAAACUUCAGAUGAUUGUGUCAUCCGUGUCCUAAAUCUUACAUAUUUUACAAUCUUACAAAUCUUACAAUCUCUGAUGUCCAGCUUUUACUUCUGGCAUUUCCAUUAUGAAUGAAAAACAAACAUUAAGCCUUGAAAUUGUAGUUCCGAUCCUCCAGCCAAUUUUUUGCCAGCACUGGAAUUCUGCAUAAUUGCAGGUCAGAGGAAUUAAGAAGUAGAUUGCCCUACUCUUCAGUCCACAA
This is a long non-coding RNA of Lepidothrix coronata (blue-crowned manakin), 742 nucleotides long. RefSeq lists it as uncharacterized. The record is from RefSeq and is a predicted model, not a curated record. NCBI's taxonomy places the organism in Eukaryota, Metazoa, Chordata, Aves, Passeriformes, Pipridae. The transcript is spliced from 3 exons.